AGUGAACGCUGGCGGUAGGCCUAACACAUGCAAGUCGAACGGCAGCACAGUAAGAGCUUGCUCUUACGGGUGGCGAGUGGCGGACGGGUGCGGAAUACAUCGGAAUCUACUUUUUCGUGGGGGAUAACGUAGGGAAACUUACGCUAAUACCGCAUACGACCUACGGGUGAAAGCAGGGGAUCUUCGGACCUUGCGCGAUUGAAUGAGCCGAUGUCGGAUUAGCUAGUUGGCGGGGUAAAGGCCCACCAAGGCGACGAUCCGUAGCUGGUCUGAGAGGAUGAUCAGCCACACUGGAACUGAGACACGGUCCAGACUCCUACGGGAGGCAGCAGUGGGGAAUAUUGGACAAUGGGCGCAAGCCUGAUCCAGCCAUGCCGCGUGGGUGAAGAAGGUCUUCGGGUUGUAAAGCCCUUUUGGUGGGAAAGAAAAGCAGCAGGUUAAUACCCCGCUGUUCUGACGGUACCCAAAGAAUAAGCACCGGCUAACUUCGUG
Molecule: ribosomal RNA, 492 nt
Filed under: uncultured bacterium
Lineage: Bacteria
Description: partial 16S ribosomal RNA
Rfam family: Bacterial small subunit ribosomal RNA
Source: RNAcentral